RNAcentral lists this ribosomal RNA (497 nucleotides) under uncultured bacterium. RNAcentral's name for it is "partial 16S ribosomal RNA". It matches the Rfam family "Bacterial small subunit ribosomal RNA", at positions 28 to 507 of the family's 1533-position model. The record is from RNAcentral.
GAUGAACGCUGGCGGCGUGCCUAAUACAUGCAAGUCGAGCGAACAGACGAGGAGCUUGCUCCUCUGACGUUAGCGGCGGACGGGUGAGUCACACGUGGAUAACCUACCUAUAAGACUGGGAUAACUUCGGGAAACCGGAGCUAAUACCGGAUAAUAUAUUGAACCGCAUGGUUCAAUAGUGAAAGACGGUUUUGCUGUCACUUAUAGAUGGAUCCGCGCCGCAUUAGCUAGUUGGUAAGGUAACGGCUUACCAAGGCAACGAUGCGUAGCCGACCUGAGAGGGUGAUCGGCCACACUGGAACUGAGACACGGUCCAGACUCCUACGGGAGGCAGCAGUAGGGAAUCUUCCGCAAUGGGCGAAAGCCUGACGGAGCAACGCCGCGUGAGUGAUGAAGGUCUUCGGAUCGUAAAACUCUGUUAUUAGGGAAGAACAAAUGUGUAAGUAACUAUGCACGUCUUGACGGUACCUAAUCAGAAAGCCACGGCUAACUACGUG